CGGUAGAGUCUCUUCGGAGACUUGAGAGCGGCGCACGGGUGCGGAACACGUGUGCAACCUGCCUUUAUCUGGGGGAUAGCCUUUCGAAAGGAAGAUUAAUACCCCAUAAUAUAAGAAACGGCAUCGUUUUUUAUUGAAAACUCCGGUGGAUAGAGAUGGGCACGCGCAAGAUUAGAUAGUUGGUGAGGUAACGGCUCACCAAGUCUGCGAUCUUUAGGGGGCCUGAGAGGGUGAUCCCCCACACUGGUACUGAGACACGGACCAGACUCCUACGGGAGGCAGCAGUGAGGAAUAUUGGACAAUGGGUGAGAGCCUGAUCCAGCCAUCCCGCGUGAAGGACGACGGCCCUAUGGGUUGUAAACUUCUUUUGUAUAGGGAUAAACCUACCCUCGUGAGGGUAGCUGAAGGUACUAUACGAAUAAGCACCGGCUAACUCCGUGCCAGCAGCCGCGGUAAUACGGAGGGUGCAAGCGUUAUCCGGAUUUAUUGGGUUUAAAGGGUCCGUAGGCGGAUCUGUAAGUCAGUGGUGAAAUCUCACAGCUUAACUGUGAAACUGCCAUUGAUACUGCAGGUCUUGAGUGUUGUUGAAGUAGCUGGAAUAAGUAGUGUAGCGGUGAAAUGCAUAGAUAUUACUUAGAACACCAAUUGCGAAGGCAGGUUACUAAGCAACAACUGACGCUGAUGGACGAAAGCGUGGGGAGCGAACAGGAUUAGAUACCCUGGUAGUCCACGCCGUAAACGAUGCUAACUCGUUUUUGGAGCGCAAGCUUCAGAGACUAAGCGAAAGUGAUAAGUUAGCCACCUGGGGAGUACGAACGCAAGUUUGAAACUCAAAGGAAUUGACGGGGGCCCGCACAAGCGGUGGAUUAUGUGGUUUAAUUCGAUGAUACGCGAGGAACCUUACCAAGGCUUAAAUGGGAAAUGACAGGCUUAGAAAUAGGCUUUUCUUCGGACAUUUUUCAAGGUGCUGCAUGGUUGUCGUCAGCUCGUGCCGUGAGGUGUUAGGUUAAGUCCUGCAACGAGCGCAACCCCUGUCACUAGUUGCCAUCAUUAAGUUGGGGACUCUAGUGAGACUGCCUACGCCAAGUAGAGAGGAAGGUGGGGAUGACGUCAAAUCAUCACGGCCCUUACGCCUUGGGCCACACACGUAAUACAAUGGCCGGUACAGAGGGCAGCUACACAGCGAUGUGAUGCAAAUCUCGAAAGCCGGUCUCAGUUCGGAUUGGAGUCUGCAACUCGACUCUAUGAAGCUGGAAUCGCUAGUAAUCGCGCAUCAGCCAUGGCGCGGUGAAUACGUUCCCGGGCCUUGUACACACCGCCCGUCAAGCCA
This 1330-nucleotide ribosomal RNA is filed under the name Chryseobacterium indologenes. RNAcentral's name for it is "bacterial SSU rRNA". It matches the Rfam family "Bacterial small subunit ribosomal RNA", at positions 67 to 1404 of the family's 1533-position model. The record is from RNAcentral. Lineage: Bacteria; Pseudomonadati; Bacteroidota; Flavobacteriia; Flavobacteriales; Weeksellaceae.